AUUGAACGCUGGCGGCAUGCUUUACACAUGCAAGUCGAACGGUAACAGGCCUUCGGGUGCUGACGAGUGGCGAACGGGUGAGUAAUGCAUCGGAACGUACCCAGAGGUGGGGGAUAACGCAGCGAAAGCUGUGCUAAUACCGCAUGUGAUCUGAGGAUGAAAGCGGGGGACCGAGCAGCAAUGUUUGGCCUCGCGCCUUUGGAGCGGCCGAUGUCGGAUUAGCUAGUUGGUGGGGUAAAGGCCUACCAAGGCGACGAUCCGUAGCUGGUCUGAGAGGACGACCAGCCAACCUGGGACUGAGCCACGGCCCAGACUCCUACGGGAGGCAGCAGUGGGGAAUUUUGGACAAUGGGCGCAAGCCUGAUCCAGCAAUGCCGCGUGCGGGAAGAAGGCCUUCGGGUUGUAAACCGCUUUUGGCAGGAACGAAACGGUGUCCGCUAAUACCGGGCGCUAAUGACGGUACCUGCAGAAUAAGCACCGGCUAACUACGUG
RNAcentral lists this ribosomal RNA (492 nucleotides) under uncultured bacterium. RNAcentral's name for it is "partial 16S ribosomal RNA". It matches the Rfam family "Bacterial small subunit ribosomal RNA", at positions 29 to 507 of the family's 1533-position model. The record is from RNAcentral.